This 610-nucleotide long non-coding RNA is filed under the name Mytilus galloprovincialis (Mediterranean mussel). The record is from RNAcentral. Lineage: Eukaryota; Metazoa; Mollusca; Bivalvia; Mytilida; Mytilidae.
UAUGGUUUGCAUUGUAGGGGGCGGGGAAGGGGGAUGGUGUCUUGUAUGUUAUAUACUGAAGGUCAAUUGGUCAAAGUUCAAAUCAUGGGUACCAUACAUUCAUGGCUAAAUUAGAACGAUAAUGUAUAUUCACUGUAAAUUACUGAUUUUAAGGUCAUAUAUCGUCAAGUUUAAGGUUAAGUGCAGGGGCGGAUCCAGCCAUUUUAAAAGGGGGUUCCAACUAUAUGUCCCCAUUUAAAUGCAUUGAUCGCCCCAAAUGCGGGCCAACCCCCGGAACCCUCCUCCUGGAUCCGCCACUGGAGUGCAAUUUGUUCAACUUGAUAGGUAUAGGCGUAAAUCAGAUUUUAUUUUCGUAUUUCUGAUACCUUAAAACAUGUUGAAAACUCAGUGGAUCUGACAACACGUGCGGGACUGCGGUAUGCAAAAUUAGAAUCUAUGUAUGUAAAAUCUUCAUUGUACAUUUCCUAUGUGAAAUUUAAGUCUCUUUGACACAUUCCCCGUUUCCGUUAAUUGAUGUUGCAGGCGUUGCACAAAGUGUAUGUUUAAAGUAGAACAAUGUCUUUGCUCUUUCAUUCAUAUGGAAUUACAAAUAUGUUUUACGGUUGAUGCC